GCUCCCGUUGGUCUAGUGGUAUGAUUCUCGCUUAGGGAUACACCCUGAGUACUCAGCUUGUCUGCGAGAGGUCCCGUGUUCGAACCACGGAUGGAGCC
Tirmania nivea is the source of this 98-nucleotide non-coding RNA. Lineage: Eukaryota; Fungi; Ascomycota; Pezizomycetes; Pezizales; Pezizaceae. The record is from the annotation of a GenBank genome assembly.